UCGACCUUGGCGGAAUUUGAACUCAGAACGUAACAGCAGACAAAAUACCACUAAGCAUUUCACCCAGUGUGCUAACGUUUCUGCCAGCUCACCGCCUUGACAUUUCUUGUCAACAUUGACAUUUCUUGUCAACAUUGACGUUUCUCGUCAACAUUGACAUUUCUUGUCAACAUAUCAUCCUGUGGCUCUGUACUUUUCUAAUUCAAGUGAAAUAAAAUGCCCCUUCUCCAAAGAGUUUGUGCAACCAUAGACAAACUGAUUAUGUAGUCCUAGGUACACUAUGACUGAAUAAAAGACAGGAUGGUCACAGCUGGAACAUCUCUGAUCAUAGGUCUGCUGGAUCAGGACUAACCUGGGGCUAAACAACAAGUAGGACACAUUAGAUAAUGUAGUCCUAGAUACACUAUGCCUGAAUAAAAGACAGGAUGGUCACAGCUGGAAAAUCUUCGAUCAUAGGUCUGCUGGAUCAGGACUGACCUGGGGCUAAACAACAACAACAACAAGGGAGGGCACAUU
Molecule: long non-coding RNA, 516 nt
Organism: Octopus sinensis (East Asian common octopus)
Lineage: Eukaryota; Metazoa; Mollusca; Cephalopoda; Octopoda; Octopodidae
Exons: 3
Source: RefSeq, a predicted model, not a curated record